This 1443-nucleotide long non-coding RNA is filed under the name Anolis carolinensis (green anole). RNAcentral describes it as "lncRNA (ENSACAG00000036038.1)". Lineage: Eukaryota; Metazoa; Chordata; Lepidosauria; Squamata; Anolidae. The record is from RNAcentral.
GAGCAGAAAGCAGAGAGAAAGAGGGACGGGGAGGCGGGGCUGGACUGGAGGAGAGGGACAGCGGAGGAGAAAGGCGAUCCAGCGGCGGAGCUCGGGGAAGAAUCGCAGAGAGGAACAGAAAUCAAACACUGGAGGGAACUGAAAUUAGUCCUUUCCAUAGAUAAAGCGAGGCAACUGCUUCAGGGAGCACAGGGAUUGGGGAGCGGCAGCAACAAUAUUUGCACACUAUGGGGCCAAAGCUGGAGUCAGAAGGUGGAUCUACAUCAGACGUGGGCAAAUUUCAGCCCAGGUGUGAGACUUCUACUCUCACAAUUCCUAAGAGCCGGUAGGCUGGGUUGCUGUGAGUUUUAUAGCCAUGUUCCAGAAGCAUUCUCUCCUGACGUUUUGCCCACAUCUAUGGCAGGCGUCCUCAGAGUCUUGGAAACUAGGCAAGUGGGGUUUAUAUAUCUGUGGAAUGAUGUCCAGAGUGGGAGAAAGAAAUCUUGUCUGUCUGAGGCAAGUGUGAAUGUUGAAAUUGAUCACGGUAAUUAGCAUUAAAUAGCCAGGCAGCUUCAAAGCCUGGACAUCUCCUGACUGAGGGAAUCCUUCGUUGGGAGGUGUUAACUGGCCCUGAUUGUUUCUUGUCUGGAAUUCCCCUUUCUUGUGAGUGUUGUUUAUUUACUGUCCUGACUUAAAAGUUGUUUUUUUUACUAUUGGUAGCCAGAUUUUGUUCAUUUUCAUGGUUUCCUCUUUUCUGUUGAAAUUGUCCACAUGCUUGUGGAUUUCAAUGUCUUCUCUGUGUAGUCUGACAAGGUGGGUGUUAGGAUUCCCUCAGGUAGGAAGCAGCCAGGCUUUGAAGCUGCCAGGCUAUUCAAUGCUAAUCAUGCUGGCCAAUUACAACAUUCACACUUGCCUCGGGCAGUCAAGAGUUCUUUCUCCCACCCUGGACCUUCCACAGAUAUAUAAACCUCACUUGCCUAGUUUUGAAUAGACCUCACAACCUCUGAGGAUGGUUGCCAUAGAUGCAGGCGAAACGUCAGGAGAGAAUGCUUCUGGCACGUGGCCAUACAGCCCGGAAAACUCACAGCAACCCAGUGAUUCCGGUCAUGAAAACCUUCGAAACCCCACCUCUGAGUGUUCGCCAGGAAAGGCUUACAUUUUUGGGGUUUUUUUUCAAUGUUCAAGAGAUGGUAUUUAACAUCCGGCUCCCAAAGAGUGCAUCUACAUCAUAAGAUUAAUGCAGUUUGACACUGCUUGAACUGCCACAGCUUAAUGCUAUAGAAUUUUACACAGUCGUUGAUGUUGAAGAGAAACAGAUUAAUAAUAAUAAUAAUAAUAAUAAUAAUAAUAAUAAUUUGGAAACAAUAGUCAUUGAUAAAAUUACGAUCUGCCAACUGCAAAAGGCCACCCUACUGGGAUCUGCGCGCAUCAUCCGAAAAUACAUCACACAGUCCUAGACACUUG